UAUGGCAAAGAAACGUUUGCCGGGACAGCUAGUAUUAUUAUAGAAUUACGAUAUCAACUAUUAGAAUGGAAGUUGAACUUUAUGAUUAAUGGUCAUAAUUUCGAUGUUUAAACACAAUUUUAAAAAUACAAAAGUUUGACAUUACUUUUUUUAAAUUCUGUUUACCAUGGUCGAAGUCAAAAUAAUGACCAAGACCGUUAAAUGGUCAUAAAAGUUGGGUAGUUGGGCUGCUGACUGUUCCAUAACCAU
Molecule: long non-coding RNA, 249 nt
Organism: Aricia agestis (brown argus)
Lineage: Eukaryota; Metazoa; Arthropoda; Insecta; Lepidoptera; Lycaenidae
Exons: 3
Source: RefSeq, a predicted model, not a curated record